GGCAAGGUAGCUCAGCUGGUUAGAGCACGGCACUCAUAAUGCCGGGGUCGGCGGUUCGAUUCCGCCCCUUGCUACCA
Molecule: transfer RNA, 77 nt
Filed under: Marinobacter adhaerens
Lineage: Bacteria; Pseudomonadati; Pseudomonadota; Gammaproteobacteria; Pseudomonadales; Marinobacteraceae
Also listed under: 2 other names
Description: tRNA-Met
Rfam family: tRNA
About the family: Transfer RNA (tRNA) molecules are approximately 80 nucleotides in length. Their secondary structure includes four short double-helical elements and three loops (D, anti-codon, and T loops). Further hydrogen bonds mediate the characteristic L-shaped molecular structure. tRNAs have two regions of fundamental functional importance: the anti-codon, which is responsible for specific mRNA codon recognition, and the 3' end, to which the tRNAs corresponding amino acid is attached (by aminoacyl-tRNA synthetases). tRNAs cope with the degeneracy of the genetic code in two manners: having more than one tRNA (with a specific anti-codon) for a particular amino acid; and 'wobble' base-pairing, i.e. permitting non-standard base-pairing at the 3rd anti-codon position.
Source: RNAcentral